UACGGAGGAGGCAAGCGUUAUCCGGAAUUAUUGGGCGUAAAGCGUCCGCAGGUGGCACCUCAAGUCUGCUGUCAAAGACCGGGGCUUAACCCCAGAAAGGCAGUGGAAACUGAAGUGCUGGAGUGCAGUAGGGGUAGAGGGAAUUCCCGGUGUAGCGGUGAAAUGCGUAGAGAUCGGGAAGAACAUCGGUGGCGAAAGCGCUCUGCUGGACUGCAACUGACGCUCAGGGACGAAAGCUAGGGGAGCGAAUGGG
This 253-nucleotide ribosomal RNA is filed under the name uncultured bacterium. RNAcentral's name for it is "partial 16S ribosomal RNA". It matches the Rfam family "Bacterial small subunit ribosomal RNA", at positions 524 to 776 of the family's 1533-position model. The record is from RNAcentral.